GACGAACGCUGGCGGCGUGCUUAACACAUGCAAGUCGAACGGAAAGGCCCUGCUUUUGUGGGGUGCUCGAGUGGCGAACGGGUGAGUAACACGUGAGUAACCUGCCCUUGACUAUGGGAUAACUUCAGGAAACUGGGGCUAAUACCGGAUAGGAGCUCCUGCUGCAUGGUGGGGGUUGGAAAGUUUCGGCGGUUGGGGAUGGACUCGCGCCUUAUCAGCUUGUUGGUGGGGUAGUGGCUUACCAAGGCUUUGACGGGUAGCCGGCCUGGGAGGGUGACCGGCCACAUUGGGACUGAGAUACGGCCCAGACUCCUACGGGAGGCAGCAGUGGAGAAUAGUGCACAAGGGGCGGAAGCCUGAUGCAGCAACGCCGCGUGCGGGAUGACGGCCUUCGGGUUGUAAUCCGCUUUCGCCUGUGACGAAGCGUGAGUGACGGUAAUGGGUAAAGAAGCACCGGCUAACUACGUG
This 468-nucleotide ribosomal RNA is filed under the name uncultured bacterium. RNAcentral describes it as "partial 16S ribosomal RNA". It matches the Rfam family "Bacterial small subunit ribosomal RNA", at positions 28 to 507 of the family's 1533-position model. The record is from RNAcentral.